GAAGAAAAAGCGGGCCACUCAUC
Molecule: non-coding RNA, 23 nt
Filed under: Arabidopsis thaliana (thale cress)
Lineage: Eukaryota; Viridiplantae; Streptophyta; Magnoliopsida; Brassicales; Brassicaceae
Source: RNAcentral